Molecule: unclassified non-coding RNA, 236 nt
Filed under: Hevea brasiliensis (rubber tree)
Lineage: Eukaryota; Viridiplantae; Streptophyta; Magnoliopsida; Malpighiales; Euphorbiaceae
Source: RNAcentral
ACACUUGGGUAAGAAUUGGGGUGCUUUGUCCACCAGGUAUUUCAAGUUCAUCGUCGACGCCAAAUGUUAAGGAACUUUUCCCGUUAUCAGAAAUACAGUACCAGAAUCCGUCAAAAUCUGGAAAAAGUUGCAUUGACAACGAAGUUUGUCCACCACCCAUCCCGAGGAUUCCAUUUUUGAAAUCCUUUAGUUUGGUUUGUGAAUUAUCCGAGCAACCAAAGACUAAUGAUGUCGAA